RNAcentral lists this non-coding RNA (87 nucleotides) under unclassified sequences. RNAcentral describes it as "DUF3800-VII RNA". It matches the Rfam family "DUF3800-VII RNA". The record is from Rfam by way of RNAcentral.
CGCAGACAAACGCAGGGUUUGUAGAGGUCGCCGGCAACGGUGGCAGCCCGAACGGGUGGGAUCCUCGAACUUGGGGUCUGCAAACAG